UCCAGCUCAGGGGUUGUUUCUUAUGGAAUCCAACCUAUGACUGUUGACGCCAGGAGUGGUCCUGGGAAGGAGACUCUGAAAAUUUUGGAGCUGGCUGGGAAUAAGAGUCCUGUUGCUGUUGGAUAUCUGAGAGCAACCUUCUGCCAGGAUUUGCCCUGCCCACAGGCGUUAGCAUGGACUUGAUGACUGCGGUGUGGCUUUUACUUUCUCAAUUUUCCAGAGCUCAUACUCCUCAAACUCCAGAGGAAUAAGAUGUAA
RNAcentral lists this long non-coding RNA (258 nucleotides) under Homo sapiens (human). RNAcentral describes it as "non-protein coding lnc-RAP2B-4:1". The record is from RNAcentral. Lineage: Eukaryota; Metazoa; Chordata; Mammalia; Primates; Hominidae.